CACGCCGUAAACGAUGUCGACUUGGAGGUUGUGCCCUUGAGGCGUGGCUUCCGGAGCUAACGCGUUAAGUCGACCGCCUGGGGAGUACGGCCGCAAGGUUAAAACUCAAAUGAAUUGACGGGGGCCCGCACAAGCGGUGGAGCAUGUGGUUUAAUUCGAUGCAACGCGAAGAACCUUACCUACUCUUGACAUCCAGAGAAUUUAGCAGAGAUGCUUUAGUGCCUUCGGGAACUCUGAGACAGGUGC
RNAcentral lists this ribosomal RNA (246 nucleotides) under uncultured bacterium. RNAcentral describes it as "partial 16S ribosomal RNA". It matches the Rfam family "Bacterial small subunit ribosomal RNA", at positions 796 to 1041 of the family's 1533-position model. The record is from RNAcentral.